AAGCGUUCUCAGGGCGGGGUGCAAUUCCCCACCGGCGGUGAUGGCGACCUGUUCGCACGAGCCCGCGAGCGCCCGCAGCGUGCAACGCGCCGCGGGGUCAGCAGACCUGGUGAGAUCCCGGGGCCGACGGUCACAGUCCGGAUGAAAGAGAGCGCGG
This 157-nucleotide non-coding RNA is filed under the name Variovorax sp. JS1663. Its description in RNAcentral is "FMN riboswitch aptamer (RFN element)". It matches the Rfam family "FMN riboswitch aptamer (RFN element)". From Rfam's summary of the family: The RFN element is a highly conserved domain that is found frequently in the 5'-untranslated regions of prokaryotic mRNAs that encode for flavin mononucleotide (FMN) biosynthesis and transport proteins. This element is a metabolite-dependent riboswitch that directly binds FMN in the absence of proteins. Lineage: Bacteria; Pseudomonadati; Pseudomonadota; Betaproteobacteria; Burkholderiales; Comamonadaceae. The record is from Rfam by way of RNAcentral. RNAcentral also lists the same sequence under 1 other name.